UACGGGGGGGGCAAGCGUUGUUCGGAAUUACUGGGCGUAAAGGGCUCGUAGGCGGCCAACUAAGUCAGACGUGAAAUCCCUCGGCUUAACCGGGGAACUGCGUCUGAUACUGGAUGGCUUGAGAUUGGGAGAGGGAUGCGGAAUUCCAGGUGUAGCGGUGAAAUGCGUAGAUAUCGGGAGGAACACCAGUGGCGAAGGCGACUUCCUGGCCUGUUCUUGACGCUGAGGAGCGAAAGCUAGGGUAGCAAACGGG
This 253-nucleotide ribosomal RNA is filed under the name uncultured bacterium. RNAcentral's name for it is "partial 16S ribosomal RNA". It matches the Rfam family "Bacterial small subunit ribosomal RNA", at positions 524 to 776 of the family's 1533-position model. The record is from RNAcentral.